This is a non-coding RNA of Acanthosepion pharaonis, 112 nucleotides long. NCBI's taxonomy places the organism in Eukaryota, Metazoa, Mollusca, Cephalopoda, Sepiida, Sepiidae. The record is from the annotation of a GenBank genome assembly.
AUGACUAUAUCACAUUGAAACACUGGCUCUCAUAUGAUCACCAAAGUUAAGCAACAUCAAGCCUGGUCAGUAUCUAGAUGGGUGACUUCUUGGGAAUACCAGAUGCUGUAAG